RNAcentral lists this ribosomal RNA (468 nucleotides) under uncultured bacterium. Its description in RNAcentral is "partial 16S ribosomal RNA". It matches the Rfam family "Bacterial small subunit ribosomal RNA", at positions 28 to 507 of the family's 1533-position model. The record is from RNAcentral.
GACGAACGCUGGCGGCGUGCUUAACACAUGCAAGUCGAACGGAAAGGCCCUGCUUUUGUGGGGUGCUCGAGUGGCGAACGGGUGAGUAACACGUGAGUAACCUGCCCUUGACUUUGGGAUAACUUCAGGAAACUGGGGCUAAUACCGGAUAGGAGCUCCUGCUGCAUGGUGGGGGGUGGAAAGUUUCGGCGGUUGGGGGUGGACUCGCGGCUUAUCAGCUUGUUGGUGGGGUAGUGGCUUACCAAGGCUUUGACGGGUAGCCGGCCUGAGAGGGUGACCGGCCACAUUGGGACUGAGAUACGGCCCAGACUCCUACGGGAGGCAGCAGUGGGGAAUAUUGCACAAUGGGCGGAAGCCUGAUGCAGCAACGCCGCGUGCGGGAUGACGGCCUUCGGGUUGUAAACCGCUUUCGCCUGUGACGAAGCGUGAGUGACGGUAAUGGGUAAAGAAGCACCGGCUAACUACGUG